UCGAACGCGAAAGCUCCCUUCGGGGAAGCAAGUAGAGUGGCGCACGGGUGAGUAACACGUAGGUAAUCUACCUUUGGAUUGGGAAUAACCACCGGAAACGGUGGCUAAUACCGAAUAAUGCAGCGGCACCUAAUGGUGACAGUUGUUAAAGCGGGGGAUCGCAAGACCUCGCGUCUGAAGAGGAGCCUGCGGCAGAUUAGCUAGUUGGUAAGGUAACGGCUUACCAAGGCGAUGAUCUGUAGCCGGCCUGAGAGGGCGGUCGGCCACACUGACACUGACAUACGGGUCAGACUCCUACGGGAGGCAGCAGUCGGGAAUUUUGGGCAAUGGGCGAAAGCCUGACCCAGCAACGCCGCGUGAAGGAUGAAAUCCUUCGGGAUGUAAACUUCGCAAGAACGGGAAGAAUAAGUAAGGGUUAAUAUCUCUUACGAUGACGGUACUGUUUGUAAGCUCCGGCUAACUCCGUGCCAGCAGCCGCGGUAAUACGGGGGGAGCAAGCGUUGUUCGGAUUUACUGGGCGUAAAGGGCGCGUAGGCGGCCACCGCAAGUCGACUGUGAAAUCUCCGGGCUUAACCCGGAAAGGUCAGCCGAUACUGCGGGGCUAGAGUGCAGAAGGGGCAACUGGAAUUCUCGGUGUAGCGGUGAAAUGCGUAGAUAUCGAGAGGAACACCUGCGGCGAAGGCGGGUUGCUGGGCUGACACUGA
Molecule: ribosomal RNA, 704 nt
Filed under: uncultured bacterium
Lineage: Bacteria
Description: bacterial SSU rRNA
Rfam family: Bacterial small subunit ribosomal RNA
Source: RNAcentral